This 337-nucleotide unclassified non-coding RNA is filed under the name soil metagenome. RNAcentral describes it as "partial contains 5.8S ribosomal RNA, internal transcribed spacer 2, and large subunit ribosomal RNA". The stretch from base 1 to 120 matches the Rfam family "5.8S ribosomal RNA", at positions 35 to 154 of the family's 154-position model. The record is from RNAcentral.
GAUGAAUAACGUAGUGAAAUGCGAUAAGUAGUGUGAAUUGCAGAAUUCAGUGAAUCAUCGAAUCUUUGAACGCACAUUGCGCCCCUUGGUAUUCCAUGGGGCAUGCCUGUUCGAGCGUCAUUUGUACCUUCAAGCUCUGCUUGGUGUUGGGUGUUUGUCUCGCCUCUGCGCGUAGACUCGCCUCAAAACAAUUGGCAGCCGGCGUAUUGAUUUCGGAGCGCAGUACAUCUCGCGCUUUGCACUCAUAACGACGACGUCCAAAAGUACAUUUUUACACUCUUGACCUCCGAUCAGGUAGGGAUACCCGCUGAACUUAAGCAUAUCAAUAAGCGGAGGA